UACGGAGGGAGCUAGCGUUGUUCGGAAUUACUGGGCGUAAAGCGCACGUAGGCGGCUUUGUAAGUUAGAGGUGAAAGCCUGGGGCUCAACCCCAGAAUUGCCUUUAAGACUGCAUCGCUUGAAUCCAGGAGAGGUGAGUGGAAUUCCGAGUGUAGAGGUGAAAUUCGUAGAUAUUAGGAAGAACACCAGUGGCGAAGGCGGCUCACUGGCCCGGUACUGACGCUGAGACGCGAAAGCGUGGGGAGCAACAGG
RNAcentral lists this ribosomal RNA (252 nucleotides) under uncultured bacterium. RNAcentral's name for it is "partial 16S ribosomal RNA". It matches the Rfam family "Bacterial small subunit ribosomal RNA", at positions 524 to 775 of the family's 1533-position model. The record is from RNAcentral.